GAUGAAGAACGUAGCGAAAUGCGAUACGUAGUGUGAAUUGCAGAAUUCAGUGAAUCAUCGAAUCUUUGAACGCACAUUGCACCUCUCGGUAUUCCGGGAGGUAUGCCUGUUCGAGCGUCAUUUGUACCCUCAAGCUCUGCUUGGUGUUGGGUGUUUGUUCCGCCUCUGUGUGUGAACUCGCCUCAAAACAAUUGGCAGCCGGCGUACUUGUUUCGGAGCGCAGCACAUUUUGCGAUCCAGAUCAACGUACAGCGGCAUCCAAGAAGCCUUAUUUAACGCUCUUGACCUCGGAUCAGGUAGGGAUACCCGCUGAACUUAAGCAUAUCAAUAAGCGUAGGA
RNAcentral lists this unclassified non-coding RNA (339 nucleotides) under soil metagenome. RNAcentral describes it as "partial contains 5.8S ribosomal RNA, internal transcribed spacer 2, and large subunit ribosomal RNA". The stretch from base 1 to 120 matches the Rfam family "5.8S ribosomal RNA", at positions 35 to 154 of the family's 154-position model. The record is from RNAcentral.